AUUGAACGCUGGCGGCAUGCCUUACACAUGCAAGUCGAACGGUAGAAGGAGCAAUCCUUCGAGAGUGGCGAACGGGUGAGUAAUACAUCGGAACGUACCUGGUAGUGGGGGAUAGCCCGGCGAAAAGCCGGAUUAAUACCGCAUAAGACCUGAGGGUGAAAGCGGGGGACCGUAAGGCCUCGCGCUACCGGAGCGGCCGAUGUCAGAUUAGCUAGUUGGUGGGGUAAAAGCCUACCAAGGCGACGAUCUGUAGCUGGUUUGAGAGAACGAUCAGCCACACUGGGACUGAGACACGGCCCAGACUCCUACGGGAGGCAGCAGUGGGGAAUCUUGCGCAAUGGGCGAAAGCCUGACGCAGCAACGCCGCGUGCGGGAUGACGGCCUCGUGGUUGUAACGCUUCAGCAGGACGAAAUAGACGGUACCUGCAGAAGAAGACCCGGCGUAACUAACCGUGCCAGCAGCCGC
This 466-nucleotide ribosomal RNA is filed under the name uncultured bacterium. RNAcentral's name for it is "bacterial SSU rRNA". It matches the Rfam family "Bacterial small subunit ribosomal RNA", at positions 29 to 518 of the family's 1533-position model. The record is from RNAcentral.